GCAGUCGAACGACUCUGGUAUUGAUUGGUGCUCGCAUCAUGAUUUACAUUUGAGUGAGUGGCGAACUGGUGAGUAACACGUGGGAAACCUGCCCAGAAGCGGGGGAUAACACCUGGAAACAGAUGCUAAUACCGCAUAACAACUUGGACCGCAUGGUCCGAGUUUGAAAGAUGGCUUCGGCUAUCACUUUUGGAUGGUCCCGCGGCGUAUUAGCUAGAUGGUGGGGUAACGGCUCACCAUGGCAAUGAUACGUAGCCGACCUGAGAGGGUAAUCGGCCACAUUGGGACUGAGACACGGCCCAAACUCCUACGGGAGGCAGCAGUAGGGAAUCUUCCACAAUGGACGAAAGUCUGAUGGAGCAACGCCGCGUGAGUGAAGAAGGGUUUCGGCUCGUAAAACUCUGUUGUUAAAGAAGAACAUAUCUGAGAGUAACUGUUCAGGUAUUGACGGUAUUUAACCAGAAAGCCACGGCUAACUACGUGCCAGCAGCCGCGGUAAUACGUAGGUGGCAAGCGUUGUCCGGAUUUAUUGGGCGUAAAGCGAGCGCAGGCGGUUUUUUAAGUCUGAUGUGAAAGCCUUCGGCUCAACCGAAGAAGUGCAUCGGAAACUGGGAAACUUGAGUGCAGAAGAGGACAGUGGAACUCCAUGUGUAGCGGUGAAAUGCGUAGAUAUAUGGAAGAACACCAGUGGCGAACGCGGCUGUCUGGUCUGUAACUGACGCUGAGGCUCGAAAGUAUGGGUAGCAACAGGAUUAGAUACCCUGGUAGUCCAUACCGUAACGAUGAUGCUAGUGUUGAGGGUUUCCGCCCUUCAGUGCUGCAGCUAACGCAUAGCAUCGCUGGGAGUACGCGCAGCUGAAACUCAAG
Molecule: ribosomal RNA, 867 nt
Filed under: Lactiplantibacillus plantarum
Lineage: Bacteria; Bacillati; Bacillota; Bacilli; Lactobacillales; Lactobacillaceae
Description: bacterial SSU rRNA
Rfam family: Bacterial small subunit ribosomal RNA
Source: RNAcentral